UACCAGUGAGGAAGACAAAUAUCUUGUCUUAGGCUCCUUGUUCUCUCACCCCAGAACCAGUAAUGGUGAACCCACUGGGGCUAACUGGGAGAGAGAAUGAGAACUUGUUCCAUAAGGAACUGUCUGAGAUAC
This is a small nucleolar RNA of Loxodonta africana (African savanna elephant), 132 nucleotides long. RefSeq annotates it as small nucleolar RNA SNORD22. The record is from RefSeq and is a predicted model, not a curated record. Lineage: Eukaryota; Metazoa; Chordata; Mammalia; Proboscidea; Elephantidae. The transcript has a single exon.